UAUUAGUAUAUAUAUACUAAAUUUUUUUUUUGAGAGAUAGAUAGCACGUUGUUUCGUUUAUUUCAUUUAGAAAUAAACUUAGCUAGAAAUGUGAAUCAACUAGGAUUCAAACUUGGAACCUCAUGUACCAACCACCAAGCUCUUUGUCACUUACUCAAGGGACGGUCGGUAGCAUAUACUAAAAAUUAAGUACACAUAAGGGUAGUUCUAGG
Molecule: long non-coding RNA, 212 nt
Filed under: Ananas comosus (pineapple)
Lineage: Eukaryota; Viridiplantae; Streptophyta; Magnoliopsida; Poales; Bromeliaceae
Description: long non-coding RNA (ACOM_LNC000170)
Source: RNAcentral